RNAcentral lists this ribosomal RNA (385 nucleotides) under Streptomyces sp. A-03. Its description in RNAcentral is "bacterial SSU rRNA". It matches the Rfam family "Bacterial small subunit ribosomal RNA", at positions 940 to 1320 of the family's 1533-position model. The record is from RNAcentral. Lineage: Bacteria; Bacillati; Actinomycetota; Actinomycetes; Kitasatosporales; Streptomycetaceae.
UGUGGCUUAAUUCGACGCAACGCGAAGAACCUUACCAAGGCUUGACAUACACCGGAAACGUCUGGAGACAGGCGCCCCCUUGUGGUCGGUGUACAGGUGGUGCAUGGCUGUCGUCAGCUCGUGUCGUGAGAUGUUGGGUUAAGUCCCGCAACGAGCGCAACCCUUGUCCCGUGUUGCCAGCAGGCCCUUGUGGUGCUGGGGACUCACGGGAGACCGCCGGGGUCAACUCGGAGGAAGGUGGGGACGACGUCAAGUCAUCAUGCCCCUUAUGUCUUGGGCUGCACACGUGCUACAAUGGCCGGUACAAUGAGCUGCGAUACCGCGAGGUGGAGCGAAUCUCAAAAAGCCGGUCUCAGUUCGGAUUGGGGUCUGCAACUCGACCCCA